UUGACUUUUAGUCAAGUGGUAGGGGAGCGUUCUGUAAGCCGAUGAAGGUGUAUUGAGAAGUAUGCUGGAGGUAUCAGAAGUGCGAAUGCUGACAUGAGUAGCGUUAAAGGGGGUGAAAAGCCCCCUCGCCGUAAGCGCAAGGUUUUCUACGCAACGUUCAUCGGCGUAGAGUGAGUCGGCCCCUAAGGCGAGGCAGAGAUGCGUAGCUGAUGGGAAACAGGUCAAUAUUCCUGUACCGAUCAAUAGUGCGAUGUGGGGACGGAGAAGGUUAGCUCAGCCAACUGUUGGAUAUGUUGGUUCAAGCCUGUAGUCGUGCCUGGUAGGCAAAUCCGCCGGGCUUAGAUGAGGGGUGAUAACGAGUCUGCUUGCAGACGAAGUGAGUGAUACCCUGCUUCCAGGAAAAGCCACUAAGCUUCAGCUAUUGACGACCGUACCGCAAACCGACACUGGUGCGCGAGAUGAGUAUUCUAAGGCGCUUGAGAGAACUCAGGAGAAGGAACUCGGCAAAUUGACACCGUAACUUCGGGAGAAGGUGUGCCCCGGUAGGUUGUAGAGCCUCGCGCUCGAAGGCCGAUGGGGUUGCAGUGAAAUGGUGGCUGCGACUGUUUAAUAAAAACACAGCACUCUGCAAACACGAAAGUGGACGUAUAGGGUGUGACGCCUGCCCGGUGCUGGAAGAUUAAAUGAUGGGGUGCAAGCUCUUGAUUGAAGUCCCAGUAAACGGCGGCCGUAACAAUAACGGUCCUAAGGUAGCGAAAUUCCUUGUCGGGUAAGUUCCGACCUGCACGAAUGGCGUAACGAUGGCCACACUGUCUCCUCCUGAGACUCAGCGAAGUUGAAAUGUUUGUGAUGAUGCAAUCUCCCCGCGGAAAGACGGAAAGACCCCAUGAACCUUUACUGUAGCUUUGUAUUGGACUUUGAACGGAUCUGUGUAGGAUAGGUGGGAGGCUUUGAAGUGAGGUCGCUAGAUCUCAUGGAGCCAACGUUGAAAUACCACCCUGGUGCGUUUGAGGUUCUAACCUAGGUCCAUUAGCUGGAUCGGGGACAGUGCAUGGUAGGCAGUUUGACUGGGGCGGUCUCCUCCCAAAGCGUAACGGAGGAGUUCGAAGGUACGCUAGUUACGGUCGGACAUCGUGACGAUAGUGCAAUGGCAUAAGCGUGCUUAACUGCGAGACUGACAAGUCGAGCAGAUGCGAAAGCAGGACAUAGUGAUCCGGUGGUUCCGUAUGGAAGGGCCAUCGCUCAUAGGAUAAAAGGUACUCCGGGGAUAACAGGCUAGUCUCCCCCAAGAGCUCACAUCGACGGGGAGGUUCGGCACCUCGAUGUCGGCUCGUCACAUCCUGGGGCUGGAGAAGGUCCCAAGGGUUGGGCUGUUCGCCCAUUAAAGC
RNAcentral lists this ribosomal RNA (1388 nucleotides) under Aedes aegypti (yellow fever mosquito). RNAcentral's name for it is "bacterial LSU rRNA". It matches the Rfam family "Bacterial large subunit ribosomal RNA", at positions 1208 to 2594 of the family's 2925-position model. The record is from RNAcentral. Lineage: Eukaryota; Metazoa; Arthropoda; Insecta; Diptera; Culicidae.